GGUAGUCUCAGUGGAAGCUGCUGCUUUUUAGCUGCAAUUUUUGGCCCUAAGGCCAUUAGAUCUUCCAAUAACAGGGAACAAAUAUGGUGUGUUUAGUGAUGACAAUGUUCUGCAUCAUGUGGGACAUUGCGAACAAUGUGGCUAGCUUCUUUAAAGUUCCAAAAUGCUACCGAAGCCAAGGCCAGAAGCUGGACGCCCCCCUCCCCCAUGCAGCAUGCAGGCUCAGAAACCUGUUGGAAAAAAGAGGGUGUUCCCAUCUCAACUUUGGAAAAACUUUCAACAAGGACAAGUUGCAAGUCAUCAAUCAUAAUUACAACAAAUUAUGGCAACAUUGUAACUUUUAAUUAAUGGUUUAAGAAGGAUAAUUAGUAGUGUGCAGUAUUGUAUGAGUAAAAGGACAAGUAAGUAAAGUGUAGUAACGAAAUGGUUCAUUUUUUCAAUCUUUUGUAAGGAAUGGGUAAUAGAGGAAAACACAACAAAACUUGUAUGAAACAUAUUGAUGAUAAUAAAUAUGAUUGGAGUGUAUUUACA
Long non-coding RNA from Branchiostoma floridae (Florida lancelet), 531 nucleotides. RefSeq lists it as uncharacterized. NCBI's taxonomy places the organism in Eukaryota, Metazoa, Chordata, Leptocardii, Amphioxiformes, Branchiostomatidae. The record is from RefSeq and is a predicted model, not a curated record. The transcript has 2 exons.